Molecule: ribosomal RNA, 795 nt
Filed under: uncultured Gammaproteobacteria bacterium
Lineage: Bacteria; Pseudomonadati; Pseudomonadota; Gammaproteobacteria
Description: bacterial SSU rRNA
Rfam family: Bacterial small subunit ribosomal RNA
Source: RNAcentral
GUUUGAUCCUGGCUCAGAUUGAACGCUGGCGGCAGGCUUAACACAUGCAAGUCGAGCGGAGUGAUGGUGCUUGCACUAUCACUUAGCGGCGGACGGGUGAGUAAUGCUUAGGAAUCUGCCUAUUAGUGGGGGACAACAUUUCGAAAGGAAUGCUAAUACCGCAUACGUCCUACGGGAGAAAGCAGGGGAUCUUCGGACCUUGCGCUAAUAGAUGAGCCUAAGUCGGAUUAGCUAGUUGGUGGGGUAAAGGCCUACCAAGGCGACGAUCUGUAGCGGGUCUGAGAGGAUGAUCCGCCACACUGGGACUGAGACACGGCCCAGACUCCUACGGGAGGCAGCAGUGGGGAAUAUUGGACAAUGGGCGCAAGCCUGAUCCAGCCAUGCCGCGUGUGUGAAGAAGGCCUUAUGGUUGUAAAGCACUUUAAGCGAGGAGGAGGCUACUGAAGUUAAUACCUUCAGAUAGUGGACGUUACUCGCAGAAUAAGCACCGGCUAACUCUGUGCCAGCAGCCGCGGUAAUACAGAGGGUGCAAGCGUUAAUCGGAUUUACUGGGCGUAAAGCGCGCGUAGGCGGCUAAUUAAGUCAAAUGUGAAAUCCCCGAGCUUAACUUGGGAAUUGCAUUCGAUACUGGUUAGCUAGAGUGUGGGAGAGGAUGGUAGAAUUCCAGGUGUAGCGGUGAAAUGCGUAGAGAUCUGGAGGAAUACCGAUGGCGAAGGCAGCCAUCUGGCCUAACACUGACGCUGAGGUGCGAAAGCAUGGGGAGCAAAACAGGAUUAGAUACCCUGGUAGUCCAUG